GACGAACGCUGGCGGCGUGCCUAAUACAUGCAAGUAGAACGCUGAAGGAGGAGCUUGCUUCUCUGGAUGAGUUGCGAACGGGUGAGUAACGCGUAGGUAACCUGCCUGGUAGCGGGGGAUAACUAUUGGAAACGAUAGCUAAUACCGCAUAAUAGUAGAUGUUGCAUGACAUUUGCUUAAAAGGUGCAAUUGCAUCACUACCAGAUGGACCUGCGUUGUAUUAGCUAGUUGGUGGGGUAACGGCUCACCAAGGCGACGAUACAUAGCCGACCUGAGAGGGUGAUCGGCCACACUGGGACUGAGACACGGCCCAGACUCCUACGGGAGGCAGCAGUAGGGAAUCUACGGCAAUGGACGGAAGUCUGACCGAGCAACGCCGCGUGAGUGAAGAAGGUUUUCGGAUCGUAAAGCUCUGUUGUAAGAGAAGAACGAGUGUGAGAGUGGAAAGUUCACACUGUGACGGUAUCUUACCAGAAAGGGACGGCUAACUACGUG
Molecule: ribosomal RNA, 495 nt
Filed under: uncultured bacterium
Lineage: Bacteria
Description: partial 16S ribosomal RNA
Rfam family: Bacterial small subunit ribosomal RNA
Source: RNAcentral